Molecule: ribosomal RNA, 482 nt
Filed under: uncultured bacterium
Lineage: Bacteria
Description: SSU rRNA
Rfam family: Bacterial small subunit ribosomal RNA
Source: RNAcentral
AGGACGAACGCUGGCGGCGUGCUUAACACAUGCAAGUCGAGCGAGGCCCGCCUUUCGGGGUGGUGUCCUAGCGGCGAACGGGUGAGUAACACGUGGGCAACCUGCCCUCAGCUCUGGGAUAACUCCAAGAAAUUGGGGCUAAUACCGGAUAUGACCGCUGACCGCAUGGUCUGGUGGUGGAAAGAUUUAUCGGCUGGGGGAUGGGCCCGCGGCCUAUCAGCUUGUUGGUGGGGUAGUGGCCUACCAAGGCGACGACGGGUAGCCGGCCUGAGAGGGUGACCGGCCACACUGGGACUGAGACACGGCCCAGACUCCUACGGGAGGCAGCAGUGGGGGAAUAUUGCGCAAUGGGCGAAAGCCUGACGCAGCGACGCCGCGUGGGGGAUGACGGCCUUCGGGUUGUAAACCUCUUUCAGCAGGGACGAAGCGAAAGUGACGGUACCUGCAGAAGAAGGACCGGCCAACUACGUGCCAGCAGCCGC